RNAcentral lists this non-coding RNA (220 nucleotides) under chicken gut metagenome. The record is from RNAcentral.
AAUCUCACCUAGAAAGUGAUACCCGUCACAUCUAGUAGCGAGUCUUGGGUUAUAAAUGGUAACAUUUAUGAUUAAGCGUAGACAGUUAGAUAUCAGGGUUAGUAUUGAGCUUCGAAAUGUAUCGGUAUAUUUCAAGAGUGUAGACGCUGUCGUCCAAGCGGAAUACUAUAUUUAAUAAUACGAUACGGGAAGUAUUAUUAAACUCUUGCGGAGUCUGAAA